GGCUGUCGCUGACUUUUAACGCAAAAGUCGUGCACGCCGGAGCGUGUCCUCUCACAUAAAAUCCAUCUCACCCUUUUGUGCACCACCGCGUGGGCACCCUUCGGGAUCAAACCGAUCCCGGAGGGGGCUUGCGUUUUCACACAAACCCCUUCUUAAAAGUGUAGAAUGUCCCCAUUUUUGCGAUAACACGCAAUCAAUACAACUUUCAACAACGGAUCUCUUGGCUCUCGCAUCGAUGAAGAACGCAGCGAAAUGCGAUACGUAAUGUGAAUUGCAGAAUUCAGUGAAUCAUCGAAUCUUUGAACGCACCUUGCGCCCCUUGGUAUUCCGAGGGGCACACCCGUUUGAGUGUCGUGAAAAUCUCAACCUUCUCGGUUUCUUCUGGACACCGAAGGAGGCUUGGACUUUGGAGGCCUUUGCUGGCGUCUCUCUCUCUUGAGAGAGCCAGCUCCUCUUAAAUGAAUUAGCGGGGUCCUCUUUGCUGGUCCUCGACAUGUGAUAAGAUGUUUCCAUGUCUUGGUUUCUGGCUCUGUUGCCUUUGGGACCCGCUUCUAACCGUCUCAACNAGACAACGUUUGAGCGCGUCUCCCUUCUCGGGAGACCCUCUCAACCUCACGAACCCU
RNAcentral lists this ribosomal RNA (623 nucleotides) under uncultured Lactarius. Its description in RNAcentral is "eukaryotic LSU rRNA". The stretch from base 201 to 354 matches the Rfam family "5.8S ribosomal RNA". The record is from RNAcentral. Lineage: Eukaryota; Fungi; Basidiomycota; Agaricomycetes; Russulales; Russulaceae.